AAUUUCGUAGCUCAAUUGGUAGAGUAUCGGUAUUUACACCGAAGGUUGAAGGUUCGAAUCCUUUCGAAAUUACAA
Molecule: transfer RNA, 75 nt
Filed under: Chryseobacterium sp. Leaf404
Lineage: Bacteria; Pseudomonadati; Bacteroidota; Flavobacteriia; Flavobacteriales; Weeksellaceae
Description: tRNA-OTHER
Rfam family: tRNA
About the family: Transfer RNA (tRNA) molecules are approximately 80 nucleotides in length. Their secondary structure includes four short double-helical elements and three loops (D, anti-codon, and T loops).
Source: RNAcentral